This 256-nucleotide ribosomal RNA is filed under the name uncultured bacterium. Its description in RNAcentral is "partial 16S ribosomal RNA". It matches the Rfam family "Bacterial small subunit ribosomal RNA", at positions 524 to 778 of the family's 1533-position model. The record is from RNAcentral.
UACGAGAGGCCCAAACGUUAUUCGGAUUUACUGGGCUUAAAGAGUUCGUAGGCGGCGCAGAAAGUAGGGUGUGAAAGCCCUCGGCUCAACCGAGGAAUUGCGCUCUAAAACUACUGUGCUCGAGGAAUCUAGAGGUGAGCGGAACUGAUGGUGGAGCGGUGAAAUGCGUUGAUAUCAUCAGGAACACCGGAGGCGAAGGCGGCUCACUGGGGAUUUUCUGACGCUGAGGAACGAAAGCCAGGGGAGCGAACCGGGG